RNAcentral lists this ribosomal RNA (443 nucleotides) under uncultured bacterium. RNAcentral's name for it is "partial 16S ribosomal RNA". It matches the Rfam family "Bacterial small subunit ribosomal RNA", at positions 338 to 795 of the family's 1533-position model. The record is from RNAcentral.
CCUACGGGCGGCUGCAGUGGGGAAUAUUGGGCAAUGGAGGCGACUCUGACCCAGCAACGCCGCGUGAAUGAUGAAGGUCCUCGGAUUGUAAAGUUCUUUUCUAAGGGAAGAAGAAAGUGACGGUACAUUAGGAAUAAGCCUCGGAGAACUACGUGCCAGCAGCAGCGGUAAUACGGAGGAGGCAAGCGUUAUCCGGAAGGACUGGGCGUAAAGGGUGCGUAGGUGGUUGGACAAGUUAGUAGCGCAACUCCGGAGCUCAACUUCGGAACUACCACUAAAACUGUUUGACUUGAGUGCAGGAGGGGUAGUCGGAAUUCCUGGUGUAGCGGUGGAAUGCGUAGAUAUUAGGAAGAACUCCAGUCGCGAAGGCGGAUUGCCAGACUGUAACUGACACUGAGGCACGAAAGCGUGGGGAGCAAACAGGAUUAGAUACCCUAGUAGUC